This 723-nucleotide ribosomal RNA is filed under the name uncultured Chytridiomycota. Its description in RNAcentral is "eukaryotic LSU rRNA". The stretch from base 269 to 422 matches the Rfam family "5.8S ribosomal RNA". The record is from RNAcentral. Lineage: Eukaryota; Fungi; Chytridiomycota.
CUUGGUCAUUUAGAGGAAGUAAAAGUCGUAACAAGGUAACCGUAGGUGAACCUGCGGUUGGAUCAUCACAAAACACUCAGUCCUAACAAGGUUUAGGAUUAGCAAUCUGCUGACUGUUCAGUGGAUGUGCACGCCUUUGGGCAAAGCUUUUUGUGAACUGUUAUUUGUGUCUUCGGCUGGGUCAUGCCAGUCAAUGGAACAUUAUGCUCAUUUCCUUUUCUUUGUAUUGACUUAUAACAACAGAUUCUAAAAAGAAUGUUGAAAUUACAACUUCUGGCAACGGAUCUCUUGGCUCUCGCAACGAUGAAGAACGCAGCGAAAUGCGAUAACUAGUGUGAAUUGCAGAAUUCCGUGAAUCAUCGAGUCUUUGAACGCAUAUUGCACUUUCUGGUAUCCCGGAAAGUAUGCCUGUUUGAGUAUCAACAAAACCUCUCCUGGAAACGUCUUGUUUUUGGGGAUUUGGAGCAUUCCUGUUUGAUCAUGCGUGCUCUGAAUUGCAUGUUUACAAAAAGGUGAGCGCAAUCUCAGCGAGUCCCACUGUUUCUCUUUCAUUGGAUUGUUGAAUUUACAUUGGAACUGUGGUUCCUUGUAACUGUUAGCUUUCUUGUGGAAGAACCCUUUUGGACUUUGAUAAGUGAGAUUCUUUUGAAGCGUUUUUACAGAACUUGGUCUCAAAUCAGGUAGGAUGACCCGCUGAACUUAAGCAUAUCAAUAAGCGGAGGA